AUCGCGGCUGGUUCGGGCUCGGGCCGGUCUCGGUGCGGCCGGGCCGGCAGCGCGACGGCAUCGGCUCGGCCCUGAUCCGCGAGG
This 84-nucleotide transfer RNA is filed under the name compost metagenome. Its description in RNAcentral is "tRNA-Thr". The record is from RNAcentral.